Molecule: long non-coding RNA, 971 nt
Organism: Oreochromis niloticus (Nile tilapia)
Lineage: Eukaryota; Metazoa; Chordata; Actinopteri; Cichliformes; Cichlidae
Exons: 3
Source: RefSeq, a predicted model, not a curated record
UGUAGUUUUGACACAUGAGUGAACUGUUUUAGGAGAGAUAUGAGCUUUUGCAGGUGGACCAUGUUGUUGUGAUCAACCAUCCAGGUUUAUUUUGACAAAAGCACCAAGAAUGAUGAGAAUGUCGGAUCUGUGUCGAGAAAUGAGCCAAAGCUAUUGAGAAGGAUCUUUGCCAUUUUGGAGACACUGACUGUUUAAAUGAGAAAGGGAUUUAGAUUGAAGCCUGAGUGAACAGUUUUGGAAGAGAUAUGAGCUUUUGCAGGUGAGCUAUAGUGUUGUGCUGAACUGUAAGAGUGUUUUGCCAAAUGAUCUUAGAGUUUUGAGAAUGUAAUGUCUUGUGGCAGGAUGAAUGUUAUCCCUCGGUCCAACCCACUUUCAGCCUGGCGCAUUAGGGGGCGCUAGUAUAAAUAGUGGCCAUUUGAGUGUCCCUGGAUCGCUUACCUGUGAUCUCCUUUUUGGUCACCUGACUUCCCUUUGGUGUUGCAGAGCUCAUUUGCGGGUUACACUUCUGAAGCCUCCAUCGUGGCUGGUCGUAGCUGUAGAAGCCUCCUCUGAGCCAUUCUGCUCAUGGUUUAUGACGCGGCUUACUCGGAAGUGUGGGCCUUAGUUUUACGCCACGCUACGCGAACCGAAGUGCUGCUGCUUUGUUUUACUUUGUUUUUACUGUCUGUUCCGGCUGCGAAGUUUCUUUCCUACUGCUGCCAGCCUUUAAAGUGGACGUCGGCGUGGACAACGGCCAUAUGCAUGCCACGCGGGUCGGCUGGCGUGCAUACUGAUUGACUGACUGGAUAAUUAACUUAUAGUCAUGCAGACGGCAAGUUGGAGCAAUACGGCGAUUCCGUUUGCUCCAUAUUUUAGAGUUUUAUCUAGAUUGUAUGUUGUGUUUCUGUUGUUUUGAUUUGUAGUUUGGAUUUUUGUUACGCCACUGGUGGGAGGCCCUUUUUCUAGCUGUAGAUCACCAGUGUGGUCCUGCA